GGUGAGGUAACGGCCCACCAAGGCGACGAUCGGUAGCCGGACUGAGAGGUUGAACGGCCACAUUGGGACUGAGACACGGCCCAGACUCCUACGGGAGGCAGCAGUGGGGAAUAUUGCACAAUGGGGGAAACCCUGAUGCAGCGACGCCGCGUGGAGGAAGAAGGUCUUCGGAUUGUAAACUCCUGUUGUUGAGGAAGAUAAUGACGGUACUCAACAAGGAAGUGACGGCUAACUACGUGCCAGCAGCCGCGGUAAAACGUAGGUCACAAGCGUUGUCCGGAAUUACUGGGUGUAAAGGGAGCGCAGGCGGGCGAUCAAGUUGGAAGUGAAAUCCAUGGGCUCAACCCAUGAACUGCUUUCAAAACUGGUCGUCUUGAGUAGUGCAGAGGUAGGCGGAAUUCCCGGUGUAGCGGUGGAAUGCGUAGAUAUCGGGAGGAACACCAGUGGCGAAGGCGGCCUACUGGGCACCAACUGACGCUGAGGCUCGAAAGUGUGGGUAGCAAACAGGAUUAGAUACCCUGGUAGUCCACACCGUAAACGAUGAUUACUAGGUGUUGGGAGAUUGACCCUCUCAGUGCCGCAGUUAACACAAUAAGUAAUCCACCUGGGGAGUACGACCGCAAGGUUGAAACUCAAAGGAAUUGACGGGGGCCCGCACAAGCAGUGGAGUAUGUGGUUUAAUUCGACGCAACGCGAAGAACCUUACCAAGUCUUGACAUCCCUUGACGAUGCUGGAAACAGUAUUUCUCUUCGGAGCAAGGAGACAGGUGGUGCAUGGUUGUCGUCAGCUCGUGUCGUGAGAUGUUGUGUUAAGUCCCGCAACGAGCGCAACCCUUAUGGUCAGUUACUACGCAAGAGGACUCUGGCCAGACUGCCGUUGACAAAACGGAGGAAGGUGGGGAUGACGUCAAAUCAUCAUGCCCUUUAUGACUUGGGCUACACACGUACUACAAUGGCGUUAAACAAAGAGAAGCAAGACCGCGAGGUGGAGCAAAACUCAGAAACAACGUCCCAGUUCGGACUGCAGGCUGCAACUCGCCUGCACGAAGUCGGAAUUGCUAGUAAUCGUGGAUCAGCAUGCCACGGUGAAUACGUUCCCGGGCCUUGUACACACCGCCCGUCACACCAUGAGAGCCGGGGGGACCCGAAGUCGGUAGUCUAACCGCAAGGAGGACGCCGCCGAAGGUAAAACUGGUGAUUGGGGUGAAGUCGUAACAAGGUAA
RNAcentral lists this ribosomal RNA (1223 nucleotides) under metagenome. Its description in RNAcentral is "bacterial SSU rRNA". It matches the Rfam family "Bacterial small subunit ribosomal RNA", at positions 251 to 1499 of the family's 1533-position model. The record is from RNAcentral.